GCGCCUGAAGAGGAGCCUGCGGCGGAUUAGCUAGUUGGUAGGGUAACGGCUUACCAAGGCGACGAUCCGUAACCGGCCUGAGAGGGCGGUCGGUCACACUGACACUGACAUACGGGUCAG
RNAcentral lists this ribosomal RNA (120 nucleotides) under uncultured bacterium. RNAcentral's name for it is "partial 16S ribosomal RNA". It matches the Rfam family "Bacterial small subunit ribosomal RNA", at positions 215 to 334 of the family's 1533-position model. The record is from RNAcentral.